AUUAAAUGAGAGUUUGAUCCUGGCUCAGGACGAACGCUGGCGGCGUGCCUAAUACAUGCAAGUAGAACGCUGAAGACUUUAGCUUGCUAAAGUUGGAAGAGUUGCGAACGGGUG
This 114-nucleotide ribosomal RNA is filed under the name Streptococcus equinus. RNAcentral's name for it is "partial 16S rRNA. Bacterial SSU". It matches the Rfam family "Bacterial small subunit ribosomal RNA", at positions 1 to 108 of the family's 1533-position model. The record is from RNAcentral. Lineage: Bacteria; Bacillati; Bacillota; Bacilli; Lactobacillales; Streptococcaceae.